Columba livia (rock pigeon) is the source of this 19551-nucleotide long non-coding RNA. RefSeq lists it as uncharacterized. The record is from RefSeq and is a predicted model, not a curated record. The transcript has 10 exons. Lineage: Eukaryota; Metazoa; Chordata; Aves; Columbiformes; Columbidae.
UGCAGAGUUCUUUUAAAUAUAAAUAAAUAAAAAAAAAAGGCACAUGCUGUGCUGGAGCCACCUGUGCCUCUCCCUUCUACUUCUGCAUCACUUCACGUGUUUUUUGACACCAAAGUAGUUGACAGCAAGUAUGUGGCUUAGUUUGUCCUCCAGCAACUUCAGUUAAAUGAUAGCUCCUCUGUUAAGAGCCAUCUUCCUUUUGCCAUCUAAGUCAAAAUCUAUUCUUCAAAGCACGCUGCUUGGUUAGAGCAUUUGUGUAUAAUUGUUACCCAAAAUUUUGUCUUACAGGAUCUCAUUUUGACAAGUACGUACAGAGCAUGCAACAUUUAAAUGAGGUGUAUUUAUAUCAGAUGCAUACAUAGUCAUUCAUUCGUAUGUCUGUAUAUCAGAUAGUUUUGUGUAUAAUGUAAAUAGCACAUCUUUUCCAAACAGCACUUAUGUUUCAACAGCCUAAAUCUCCGUUUGUCCUGUGUUAGCAUGAUGAAUAAAUUUCUCCAGCCCUUCAACCCAGAAAGUUAAACAUGUGGUUGAGUGGUGAACCCUUAAAUUAAUGACAUGGUCUAUGCUGAUGUCACUGGACAUGACAGCAAUUCCACAGCACAAAACUCACCCAGUGUAAUAUCAACACACACAAGACUUAAGACAAAGUUUAAACAGAACCUUUUUCAAUGAAAAAAGAUCAGUGUUUCACAGUAUUUUGCAGAAACGUGCUUGUAUAAACAAAAAUGUCAAUGGAGAAAAAACUAUGCUGUUAGUUUAAUAUCAUUUUAAUAAGAAAUAUGUUACAAUAAGAAAUGUUUCAUCAUUUGAAUUAAACUUAUUUGAUUUUUAUAACAUAUUACUAAUUAUAUCUGUUUAACAUUGUAACAUAACACAGUAAUGAAGAACACUCAAAAUACAAUAUUUCAGUGGCUGUAACAAUGUUUUGCAGCUUUCAAUCUCAUGUCAAUAUUAAUGUUUCAUUAAUUUCAUGCCUUGCAAUAAUUUAUUUUUUAUUCCAGAAGAGUCAUGGAGUUGGAAGUUCUAAAUUCUGAUCAGCUGUAGAAAGCACAACAUCAAUAUUAGGAGGAUUGUUUUAUACAUACAUUCAUAUCCUUUGUGCUUAAUUUUCUCCUUUUGAAAAAGGGAGAAAGACAGGUCUUCCAUUUAAAGUACUUUGAGAUCGACUUAUGAUGAUUAUGAAAGAUUGUUCUGUGUUCUGGUCUUUCUUUUCACGCUAUUUUUAUUUUUAUUAUUUUUAUUCACCGAGUCCUCUAGGACCAGGCUCUCUCUCAGAAGCGUGAAGCUACCCAGAAGCUGACUCAGCUGCCAUACCUUGAGGCUUCUACCAGCCUGCAAAACUCUCCACCAUUUCACCUCAUCUUUCUGUCAAAUUUGGCAUUCAGAUAUGAAACAGAUGUUUAUUGUGCUUUUUAAGUGUCCAGGAGAUCUUGUCAAAAGAGUCUGUACUUUACACAUAAUGUUUGACAUGUGGGAAAGAUGGACGGACGUGACAGGACAGUGUUUGGAAAGAAAACUUGAGGGUUGAUUUCCUCAUGGUGUGUGCUGCUCUGCGUCAGCCCAGGCUGCAGAGCAGCGGGAGCGGGGCAGCUGCCGCCUACCUGACAGAAAGGUCCAGACCCAGGAAUCCAGGAUUCUGUUUUUGGAGAAAAGAAAAACCACAGGAUACACUUAUGAGGAAAAUUAUUUCUAAAGCCAUGCCAGAUCCUCAGCUCUUUCCUCUGGCCCAGCAUUGAGAAGUGAUCUUUAAGCUGCCUGCAGAGGACAUCUGGUGAUCCUGCGGUAUAGAGGAGUCAUCGUGCUGCUUAGCCACUUCAGGACAUCUGUUCUUUUUAGCUUUUGGAGAGUGAUGGGACACAGCCAGAAUUUGCAGUAUUUCAAAACAGAUCUGUCAGCAGAAUAGUCCCUGGAGAAUUUUGUUCCUGCUGGUGUAAUUUCAGAUAAAUAAGCACUCAUGGAGUACACACUGUAACUUCUGUAUGGACAAAAUGGACUGAGACUUAUGGAAUGCUGUCAUCCUUCUUAGCACAAAAUGGAGUUGCACUCGCUGAUAUGUGAAGCAAAGCGCUCUUCCAGUAUUCCUCGUUUGCUUGACACAUCAUGAAAAGCCACCCAUGCUUCUGAGGGGUGUUCCCGGCUUCUGUAAUAGUUCAGGGCAGGGAAUGGAACAAAAAGGUUUGAAUCAGGCAAAUUAAGAAUGAUCUCUAAGAUAAACAUGUAUUAUUCAGUAACUUUAUUUAAAUUCCAGGAAGUCUGAAGUCCAUACCUCUUGCUUUGUGUUGCUCAAAGCCUGUUCUUUGUCUGCUGUCAGAUUUUCAAAGUGCAACUGGGAGUGACUGACUUUUCCACUCAUUUCCAGGCAUGACUGUUUUCUCACUCUUCAGAAAUGCCUUCGGAGGUUUGUCACAGUCAGGCCUUGUGACCAUUAGCACAAAUUCCACCAGGUCUGAUGAGGAGGAAGAUAUUGCCCAUUUUCACUGAGAUAACACAAGUCACCCUUCUAAUUCUGCCACACUCCACUGUCCCUGUCUAAAAUAAUUGAAAAACUUUACCGUUUGCACCUGGCUUUAUAGAACUUCAGUGAUUCCUUAACAGGUUUCCAAUCUUUUUUUAUCUUUUUACAUGUACCAUCUUCCUGUUUAACAAAGGAAAGAAAGAAAGAAAGAAAGUAGCUGCCUUCAUUCAUUCUAUUGGGACCAAAGGCUUUGAAUUUUACAUACCAGUGGCACGAGAGUGUGCAGGGAGCAUGCACAUUUCAUGUCUUGAAUAUGAAAAUAUGAAUGAUAGCCAUAAAGUAGAAGUUUGCUGCAGUUAUUUAAUGGCUGCAUUAUCCUUUUUUUAAAAAUUAUUAUUAUUUCUGGUACCCAUCUAGAACAUGACCUGGGUGUGUAACUAGGAAUACGUGUUUUGAAAUGAUCAAAUCUAACACUGGGAAAAGGGCUGCCUUGCCCCUUCUCAGCUGCCACAGUGUUGAUCCUGUGAGGCUUGUUUGGUUUUGUUUUAGUAAACAAGCAGGGGCCUUUUUAGUCAUUCUUUAAUCAUCAGGGCAUAACUUCUUCACAUGUGGUCAUGACACACAGCUCCACCACAAUUCCUUCCUACUGACUAUAAAAAGCAUGAUCACAGCAUAACCUAGGAGGGCAUGUUCACCCCUUGUUUCAUGCUGCACUUGCAGAUUGAUCUCCACAGUUUAAUUACUGGUGUACAACAAUGUGUGAGCUUGAACCACCACAUUUAUCAGAAUUUUUUUUUGGUAGAAUAAAUCUCUAAAAUACAAAGCAUUAGGCUAGAGAGUUGAUCAAUUGCUGCCAUUCAUUUACUUCCUUAUGGAGCACUGAUGCAGCGAAACUCCCAUCACAAAGAACUAUCAUUAACUAGUGCACAUUUAUUUGCUUAAGAAGUCUAAUAAUCAAUCAUCAAAUUUCUCCACUUGUUUUGUGGCAUUGUAUUUCAUCACUUGGUAGGGUAUGAAACAUUAUCAUUCUUUACACAAGUUUGUUAACGGAAUAUUUAUUUGAAGAGGUUUCAAUAUAAAUAAAGAUUUUCUACAUGUAUUUCUUUAAAAAGAUUUAUUUUUAUUUCAACUAUUUGCUUUCCUAUGAAAAAAAUAUGUGAAAAAAUAAUCCAGAAGUGUAAAUGGCAUGAAAAUUGAAUUAUCCAUCAGAUGGAAGGGGUGAUCACUGCAAGUCAGGUAUGUGGGUUUGGGUGGGGUACAGCAAACAGCUUCGUUUGUUUAUAUGUUUGGGGGAUUUCUCUCCAUGUCCCUCUUUCCCUACUGUAGAUCAUUUAUCCUUUGAGAAAGAAAAGGAAGGCUGGUAUAAAUUAGGAAUGGUAAUGUAAAAGCUUAUAUCCUCUGCAUAAAAGUUUUUCAAAUUAAUACAAGCAUUAAAUUGCCAAAUAUUUUUCCCAUAUACUGCCAAUAUUAAACAUGACAUGCCUGCUAGGGUUGGUAUAAAGUUUUGUCAGCAUUUUUGGCAUACAAGAUCUCAGCCUGGGGUCAAUAUUUUCUUGACCAAAUUUUGUUGUUUCAGUUGCCUUUUUACACUCAUAUAUUGUAACUCAAACAUCCCCAAAAAAACGAGUUUUGGCAGGCUAUUAGUCCAUAAUGUGGUCUAAUGCCUUUGGAUAUUUUUUUAAAUGUAAAUCAUUGAGAUAUUUAAGGUUUGAGGUUUAAGAACUGUGCACACACUUUAACAACUUCUUUUAAAAAUAUUUAGUAUGCAUAUUUACUACAUAUGUAUCUUAUAGAGACUAGAGAUUAAACUGGAGAUUACUCACUAAAAUAUGCAAACUGCUGUCCAUGAAUAAACAUCCUCAUGAACUCAUAUUGAAAGUUUUGUAUUUUAAAAAAGUGCUUUAAAACUACAAUAAAAGCAAAAGGAAGUAAUAAGGGGGGAGGAAAAAGCAAUGUUUAAGUAAGUUUAAUGGUUUGACUUGGCCACGGAAAAUAAAGAAGUUCAUUUUGUUCUCCUGGGAUCUAAUCCAAAGCCCACUGAGGUCAAAAGAAGGCUUUCUACCAAUUGCCAUGUGCACUGGGUCUGGUCUCUGCUCUGUUGCUCCCUCACUGUGCAGUGCUGAUGGGCUGCAGCAGCUCACAGAACACACUGACCCACUAGUCUGCUGUAUGCCUUGCAUGGGUUUGGGGUAAGUUACGGGUGGCAGAGGAACUCUCCUCUGGUGUGUCCAUCCUUCCUCUGUAAUUUGGAAUCAGUUUUCCACUUUUGCCUUGACCUAUCGGUGCUUACCAGUUAUUCAUUGGAGUUUUCAUACAGUAAAAUAUAAGAGGAAACUUGUAGAAUCCUUAAAAUGUUCAAAUGUCCCAGUGUGCCUGUGCACGUAACGGUGUUAUGUACCACACAGCAUCACUCAGCCUGAGGUCUUUUAGAAACUAACCUUUUUUCAGAGUCAUUUAUAACAUCAGCCCAGGACUACAUACUCUAAUUUGUGUUAGUUACAAAUGACAGGAUUUGUGUAAUCAAUGAGCACUGGCGCCAUCGCAUGCAAUGCUCGUUAGAAUGCAAUUCCUGCAGUUCCUGGACAAUCUGUUCCUUAUGGUGAUUUUUGGGAGCUUGUAAACUCUCACUAAGAUGCUGGCAACACCAACCAAACAUCUCAGACACAUUGUCUUUUUGAACCUGAACUUUUUAAAUGGUGGUUAAACAUGUUGUCUGCUUUAGUUUCCUGUCUAUCUUCAUCAUAAGCCGGCACCUGUUUCCAAUAAAUUAUACACAGAGCUGUAUCAGCAACACCUUGGCAGCAGCUGCCACCCUGAAAAGCAGAAUGCCCUUGAGGACAAUACACCUGUGAACACAUACAGUGUUUAUUUAGCUGAAAGGCAAAACUUGAAGUUACAUAAAGCAAUUAUCUAAAGCCUAAUAUAUGCCCAUUAUUAACACAAAAUAACCUUGUUUUUAAAACCAAUGAAAAUCUAUUUAAGGCUUUUUCCAAAUCUCAGGGAAAUAUGUACUAGCACUGGGGAUCUGCUGUUAGCCUGGGACCUCCAACUGUCUGAUGGUGGGAAGAUGUGUGGGGGAGGCUGUGUUUGCAAAGUAAUAGGGCAUAGAUUUGGAGUUCAUUAUACACAGAGAUGAGGGAAGAAGCCAAAUAAUUUUCAGAGAGACUGUUAAACAACAGACUCAUUUUCUUAUUGGUUCUACAUAAUAAAGUAGCAUUUUGUUGCCGAAGCAUAGAAUCAUUCUGUUUAAGACAGUGUUUGAUCUUCCCAUAACUGUGAGACAGAAGGAAAAAUGGUCCUGAGAAAGAGGUUUUUUAUUACUAGAACAAACCUUUCAUAUCUAGUUCACUACCAGCACUGUCUUUUCAUGUAACAAGGAGCCUAUUUUAGCAGCAGUAAGUGCAGUUUGUUGUUUGCAGCAGCUCACAGGAUAAUGAAAAAAAAAAAAAAAACAAACUUAUGAGUAAAAUAGAAUAGAAUAGAAAUCUGAGAUAAGUUCUCAAGUUUUGGUAAAGCAAGAAGUAACACUAGCAACUCUAAUUCAAAUAAGUUGUAGCAUCCAUUUUCAGUUUAAUAGGCGUACUUUAAAUAUUAUUUGGCACAUGAACCUUAUAAACCACUUAAAGGGGAAGAUAUUUUCUACUCAGUGUUUCUGAAGUUAACAUUAAAUACAGAAAGUUUAUAAAUGUGUGUGCAUGUAUGUACAUAUUCUUGUACUAAAUGCUGAUAAUUCUUUACAUUUUUAAGUCAUACUUUACAAUACUUUAAUCCCCUCUCCAAUCCCUCCCAUUGCCAUUUAAGUGAUUAACUUCAAUGAUCUUAGGUGAAAAUGUGUUUUAACACUUCUGUUUGGCCAGACCUGAAAGCUGUGGAAGGACUUGCUGAUGAGUAUUACAGCUUUCUUAAGUGUCAUUUUUUUAAAACCCUUACAAUGCUGAAUGCGAAGACAUGUGGAAUGGUGAUGCUUGUGAUAGUCUUCCAUCAAUAAUUUUGUACAUUUAGAUCCAACGGUUUCAGUCUUAUGAAGUGCAAAAUAAAAUUUCAAGAGAAUAGCAUUAGCAUAACGUCACGAUAUAUACCUUGUCUUUCAAAUGUCACUAAUAAAUAUAAUGUAUUUUGUUUCAUAUUUUAUUAUCAGAUGGUUUGACAUAGUUUGACAUAGUUAUAUUUUUUUCCAGGUGUCUUUCUUAAAACUGCUCUAUUUUCAUCUCAGAACAAGCAUGGUACAUUUCAGAGAUCCAAGCCGAAACAUAUGGAUUAAGUCAAUGAUUCAGUUUCUAAACCUCCAAAUGACUGUUCUGAUUACUCAUGCAAAUCUAUAUUUUUGCCAGGUUUCCUUAAGACUGUAAUACAAGGAAAAUUAACAGGAAUGUAUUUUCUUCUCCUAAUGCAUGUGAGAAUAUGACAGAAUGAUGGUCUCCACACACAGAUACAAACAUGCUUCUUGAUUUAAAUUAUAUUGGCUGUGUUCGAUUCUAAUUGAAUAUAAAUGCUAGGAGCACCCAGCUAAGAUUCCAACCAAAAGGAAAUUCAGCUAUAGCUACAAAAUAAAAACUAUUUCAUUUCCCCUGGAGUGUUUAGCUUUUAUUAAAUGUCAACAAAUCUAAAAACAUGCUUUACUAAUCUAUGGUGUGUAUGGGAAAUAAGUCACAAGGAUAAGUCACUGAAGAUAAUGUUUGCUUUGGUUUAGAUAAACAGGUUCCAGAGAAAUGAAAUCUCUCACAAGUAUUUAACCAACCCUUGUUUUCCUUUAACAUUUGUCAGAUCUCCCACUGGUGAUCAAAGAAUGCCAAGCUGUGAUAUAGCUUGGGGCCUGCAAGCAGACCUGUGUUUGUGAUCGUUUGCUACCCUCUGUAGUAAGUUUAUCCAUUAGUUUAUUUCCUGUUGACUUCCAUGCACACUGUUAAGCCAGGAUGUUGCAUGUUCUCAAACAGAAAAUGGAAUUACAAGAGGAAGAUGCUGCCACCUGGAAGGUCUGCCUCUGUGCUGCCUGCUGGAGAAAUGCCAUGGGACUGAGGAUCACAGAAGCAGCUGGGCAUGAGGACCCGCGAGGAGCCGCACUCUACUGCCGGAUAAGCUGUGUUCCUCCUGGCCUCACAUCCGUAUUCAUACAGGUUUGGCCAAGAUUGGGACAUUAGAGUGAAGAUCUACAAAAAUAGCAGCACCAGAUCCAAACUUCUACAGUGUCUUUCCAAAGUUAGCUAGAUGUACAUAUAGGGAUUCACACAUGCAGCCACCAGAGCUGUAUCGAAAGUCUGGUGGGCUACAGUGAACACAGCAGCUGUGGAGCCUACAAUGACCCAGGGGCUGCCCCUGGUGUCAGGUGACCAAAGUACUAAUACAGCAAAUUGCUGGAAAAAUGGUGUGAUGGGAAUCUCCCUGGAGAAAAAGCUCAGCACUGGACCCUAACUUGGAACUGGUGAAACCCGAGUGUUUCACAGGAAGCACAAGGACAUGAUUUGGACUCUGCCUUCCACGCCAGUAUCAUUGAGGUACACUGAGGAGACAGAGUGCAAGGGGCUGGUUUUGCUCACCUUUAAGGAUGUGAUACAAGAGUGAACCACAGAAGUGACAGCAGGGCACUGUGGGCACAGGUUCAUGCUCUUCUGCAGCACUGAGGAACUGAAGUCAGGAGAGUUGCUCUUCAUCUAUAGCAGCAACCAGGUGAGAAAAACUUUGCUCUGUCCGUGCUUUUGCAGCUAAACCUAAGCCAGGCUAUAUUCUGAUCUAAUUAUAGUUCUUAGAUUAGCAGUGUGUUACCAGCUUGGGGUCUUUUUAACUUCAGAGUCUCAAGAAGACAAUUCACAGGCAAGUGGUGGUUGUGAAAUCCAGUCAGGCAAGACAUGCCUCUGAUUUUGAAGCAGAAAUCCAUUCUAUGUUAUGGCACUAUUGGCUCAAAUAUCAUAUUUACAUUCUAGUUUUUAAUGGCUUGCAGUUAGGAAUCAGACAAGCUGUUCUGUAGGUGGUCUAAAUUAUAUCCUGUGUGCACAUUGCAUGCUGAGAAGAGUUUGCUGAUCUAACAAAUGAUAAAAGACUAAGCAAUCACCCACUGUAAGUCCAAAUCUUUACCCUGGCAAACCUCACAUGGAUUUUUCAUGGGAGUUUUGCCUUAGUAAUGACUGUAGAAUUUGGCCCAUUUUGACCACACCGGUGACUAACAGUCCAGCAUUAGAACCCGUGUCCCUUGGAUCCAUUUUAGGUAUUUAAAGCUGAUUCUCAUUAUUGCAAUAACCAAUAAUCUUACUAUCUUCUAGUCUUUUUUAACCUCAAAUUUCUCAGUCAUGAAGGUAUUUUCUCCAUUAACAGAGAGCAAAUACUUUUUUUAACUAUAACUGAUUACCUAAAAAUUUAGAUGCAUGCCUUGUGGGAUUUUCAGGAAUAUCUGAGAGCCUGUUUCUCACUAAAAUGAAUGAGAAUUAAGUCUUAAAUGUCUUUAAAGAGUCAUACCAAAGUGACUGAUGAAACAAAUCACAUUAGACAGCUUUGACAAAGCAAGAGAUUUAUUCUGCCACCCAUAUGCCCAACUACUAUGCAGGUCCCUGCACUUGACUUCUGCUAAGAACAUUAUCCUCCUUCAACUCACUUCCUUUCAUGUACUUUAAAAAAAGGAUCUCUAAGAUGUAACCCUGCCUUUCAAUCUGUACUUAGCUCAGCAAUGUAGAUCUUAAUUGUGACUGAGACCAGGAAUUACUGAACUGAAUUAAUCUAAUUCAAAUAAAUGGUAAAAUCUAGCAAUUGUAGUGGCACCAGUGGAAAGCCAACACUUCCCAUUUUUGUUUUCAAUUCUGUAUCUGAAAGACAAAUGCUUGCAAAAUGGCUUUCCCAUUUGGGAGGGCAGGUGGGUAAAACUGAAACAAUAGGUCUAUGACACAUCCUUAAAUCUAAAGUUAACACCUUUGCACUACAAAAGGUACAGAAGAUGCUAUAAAAGCCUCUGCUCCUGCCCAGGAACUGAGCGGCUCAGGCUGCGCGCUCAGCCCCAGGCACAUCUGAGCCCUUUUACCUGAAGGGACUGCGGGGCUGCGGCUCCCACUCUUUCUGUACUGGUACAUCCAGGACCAUAUCUAUAGCAGUAAUUAAGUAGUGCAGUCAUGUUGUGGACCCAAAAUCAACACUGACUGCAUUUUUUUUUAGGGGGGGAAAGGGAUUAGCUCCGGGCCAGUCCUGUGGCCUAGUGACAGCAGCAGACCCAGAGGUGUUUUGGAGCACACCUCCCAGGAGUUUGCACUCUGACAACACACUGGCUAGCGGGAACAAUUGGGAGAUUUACCUCCUGAUCCAAAGUAACAUGAGACAUCAUGUAAGAAUAAGAUUUAAAUGAUUAAUUUGAGACAAUCAUAGGAGAAAGCCCUUCUUUAUGUUACUUUUUCAUAAUCCUGAAAUAGCCCCUGGAAGAAGGCAAAUUUCAGUUUCCUUCAACACCUGCUAAUAUGUUCGAGAUACAGUUGAAACCCUUAUUCCUACUUCCUGUAUCUUGUUAGACUUUAGCUUUUAGGGGAGAGAUUUCUGUAGCUGUUUCUAUAACUAAAUAUAGUUCUUCUUACAGCCAUGAGUUAUCAACACUCUGAAAGUCCUUGCAGUGUCUCGGCUCUCCAUGAGGCUUAAACACAAUUUAAAUAACAGUUCAACAGAUAAAGUACUGGCUUGCAUCCUCUCUUUAUCCCAUCACCUUCCUACAAAGCCAGUAAAGAACAAAGAGUACGAAUAUGUGGGCUAUCUCUUCAUUCUCAAUAAAACACAGAUAUGCUUGUGAAUAACCAUGGAAGGACAGGAGAAAAUGCUCCAGCAAGUCCAAAUCUGAUUCCAGCCCUAAUGGUCCAGCAGAGGAAGGAGCUGAUGGCUGCUCAAGCAGAAUGGAGGUGAAAGGAGCAGUCAGAAAACCCUGCACAGGUCUCACCUGCAGGACCCACUGCCACAGCUCAUGGACAGUCCAUGGAAAUGCAGGUCCCACACUGUCCUGUAGUAGUUAGUAGCAGUAUAAUAGUUAAUAUUUUCAUUCUUACUGGCAAAAAUGGCUUUUUUUUUUUUUUUUCCUGUUUUGCAUGACAAGCACUUCUAAAAGCUCAUCAGCAGUGUAUUGGUCUGGGUAGCAUUUUCAACCUGGGUGCAACAAUCUUAUUUUCCUGUCCAAGACCUUGGAGAAGGCAGGACACCUGCACCAUGCCAGUGCUGGCAAGCCAGGUGGUUGCUGCCCUGUGGGAGGACACAGCUUGCAGAGCAGCAGCUUUGACUCAGAACAGGAGGAGUUUCUUCUUCCAGGAGUGAUGUCCUCACUGUCAUGCCUUACAGGCCUUCACCAGCAAAAACUACAAUUCUCCACAGUUGUGCUUUGUCCUCUUUCACCUUCCCUGUAGGCUGCCCACAGCCCAGCCCUGCUUAGGGGCCACCAGUUGCUGCCUCCUCCCAGCACCCUGGAUAGAACUAUGAGCUGCUGAACUCUCAAAAGUGCUUGUUGGUGGGUGCACACAGUGAUGUUUUGUCUGCUGCUCCUUCUAUCUUGAGUGCAUUUGUCUUGGUGUCUCUCACAGAUGGUUACAAUAAGACUGCAAAUGGUUUCCCUGCUUUAAAAAAAGGCAACAAAAACCCCUUCUUUUUUGUUUCUUAAGUGAAACUUAGAUAUCCCAGUUAGGAAGUAUACUCUGGAUGUUAUGUUAAACUAUUCAGGUAAAUCAUUUUAGUUUUGCUCACCUGGAUUUUUAAACAGUCAAAUCUCUUUGGGAUGGAAAUGUUCUCUCUGCAACCCAGCCAAGAAGAAAGUUUUCUGCAGUGUCUUAGGUGGAAAAGGCUAUGUAUAAUAAGUAAUAACAUGGUAAUAUUUUAAAAACCAUCCAUUGCAUUGAUCCUCUCUUUGCAUAAAAAUUAGUAGGCUUUCUGAUCUGCUUGUAUAUUUUUCUGCAUAUUUGUUUCACAUUUAUAGCUUUUAUUUUUUUUUCAUCUAGCUUGCUAGAUCAUGACAGUAUAAUUGCAGGUAGCCUACAGCUAGAUUCCCUUGUGUUUGUACUGACUCUCUACUCUGAACAGCAGGAUAGCUACUCCACACUAACACAGGAAAAAUAAGAACAAGUUUUCACUGCAAGAAGUUCCUCUCCUAAUUCACUCAGACUUUCUGGGAGAAGGGUUGAAAAUGGAUAUUGAAAUAUAAAAGACCGCUAUAGCUGACUCUUCACUAGGGUUUGUCAUACCCCAUUAGCAACAAUCUAGAAAUAUCAGUGUCACAAUGUGUUGGCAAUCACUCAUCUUUACUAGUAUCACAUGAAUGCCUAUCCAGGUUAACGUGCAACCUGUCGCUCAAACAGCUACAAAGACAUACUGUGUAACAGGGAAAAGAAUACUAAUGCUUUAGACUUUCAUGUUACCAAUAACAUGCUUUAUCUGUAGAGACUGGUGCCUAUGUCAGUGUACACUAGACAAAAAAAAGGUCACCAUCACAAAAAGUUUCACCAAACCUGAGAUUUUAUAUUUGAGAUAUUCUUUUACCUCCAUUAAAAUCCCUUGCUAUACAUGUAUUUCAUGGCCAUAGUGUUUGUUGCAUUUCAGAUGUAAAAUACAGCUCCUUUGCCUAAUAAUACCACUUUUUUUUCACUUGUAUUCAAUUACACCCAUUUUAUUAUAGAAACCUCUAUGUUCAGUCACUGCAAGGGAUUACUAUUACAUAUUCCUACAAAUAAUUUUUCUCUUUCAGGCUAAAGUGAGUAGGAAUUUGCUUCCAAAGCAUUUUCAUCAACAUACUGUCAGCUUAGUGCUGAUACCUUUUAAUUACAUUGGGGUUUAUUUCUCAUGAUUUCUCCUUAAAUCUCUUGAUAAUCCCAGCAAAAUCUUGAUGUCAGCUAAUGGACCACUCCCCUUACAGUGCAAUUAUAUCAAGCAACAAAAAUUAUCUAAACAAUUCCUCUCCUUUUCCCUCAAUUUAGUAAUAUAAAAUUCUUAAAUGGGAUUAGAAUUUAGGAAAUGCCAGCCCACAAACAAGAAAACUCCCAAUAAAAGAGACUGGGUUACAUGCCUUCCUCUGAACAGAAAAAAUUCAGCUGCAGCUCUGUGGCAUGCAAUUUCAUCUUUCAGGAAUUUUAUUCAGGCUCACAAAUGAAUGUGCAUCAUUCAGCUUUUGUCCACAAAUGAAAAAACAAAGCCAGCUAUGCCUACAAGGGUUCAGAACAGGAAACAGAAGCAAAAGAGUAGUCUUGAAUUUUGAAUAAAAUUUAGAUGUUAGGUAGCUGAGCUAUUUGAAACAUAAUUGCAGUGGCAAAUAUUCUAGGGUUGCUUGGUGAAAUUUAAGAAAUAAAUAAAAAAAUUGGGUGUGAACACGCCGUUGAUCUGGGCAUUCGUCAAAGUGCCAUCUCUGACAGACCUAUGGAGGUUCUGUGCACAUUUUUCUGAUCGAAUGCUAUUCUCCCAGUCAGUCAGAGCGCAGCACAAGUUGCCAGCAAUCAUUCAUCAGCCCCUUGCAGAAAGGGCUGUCAGCUCAGGCUACAGGCUGAGCGCCAGGCUGUCAGGUUUUGGGCUCGCAGCCAGUCUGUCAUGGUUUGAGGCUGGUAGCCAAGCAGUAACUUUGAUGUUUAAGGGGUUAGCCAACUGGUAUGUGAGGGUGGCCUAUCAGCUCAGAAAUAAUAUACUGCACUCAAAGGUCAUGAGUUCUGAAACUAAUCUGGCUGUUAUAAUAUUUCUAAUAAAAACUGAGGUAGACAUUUUAUAUUGUAAAAAGUGUUCAAAUUAUUUCAGUAUUUGUUUUGAUUAAAAUUUCCAUUACACGUGCUUUUCAUUAUGCAACUCAAUUAGUAUAUAAAAGAUUUUCUGUUUAAAAUGUUCAAAUGAGCAUAAUUGUUCAAUUUGGAAAGAUUACAAUGCUUUUAUUUAAUUAACACUGCAAUAAAUACUUCAUUUUAUAAUGAACCCCAUACUUUUGAGCCAUUAACCAUUCAAUAAAUUUACAGUAUGGAAGGUUCUUUAUGGGGAAGAAGAUAAAUAAAGCUAUUUAAAUGAAUGUGCAACAGCUCUGAUGCUAAGAAGCAAAUUAUAGCUUUUUGCUUCCCAUCCACUAGAGUUAUACCUCGAUUACAAACAUAUGAGAAUAUAAUAAACACUAUACAUUUCAAUUACUAUUUUGAACAUGAGUUACACAACACUCUUCCAAAUUUGCUAUGUAGAAAUGCAGUCCACAUUCGUGGCAUCUUUCCAGAUAAAGAAGAUGAAAUAAAUUUUCAUCUGCCUUUCACCUUCUCCCAUCCCGUCCACAACUACUUCAGUUCUGUGCUGGAAUUUCCUGAUUUAGAUCUGAUCAUUUGUUUCUUCAUGAGAAUAAAAGGAAUAAAAUACCUCUCAGCUAUUCAGUAGAUUAUUAUUUGCAAUAGCAACAUGAUGAAGGAAAAAUCCCCUGGUAGUAGUGUGGCAUGGUGCACUCAUAAACACACCAACUAAUGAAAUAGCAGAGAACAGGGGUUCUAACACAAUAACAGGAAUAUCAGGCAAACCCUAACACUCUGGCUGGAUCAUGGAUUAAUGUCCCUCCAUCCUGAAGUCUGUGACUGUCUGUCUAAAUCCAUAAACCAGAAAGAGGCUCAAGAGGUAAAAGCGGCUCUUUCAGGCAGUGGAAGUCCCCACAAUCAGGGUGAUCUGGGCCCACAGUGCCUGACAUGACUGACCGAAAGGUGUUAAAUGCCUUCAAAUCCCAACAAAACCAGCAGGGCCAGGAGCUCUCAGCACUUGCUGAAGCUGUUCAGCAUCUUGUUUCAUCCCUGCCUGCCUGGGAGCUGCUGCCAGGACCACGGGGCCGUCCACCUGCGGGGAAGCUGUCAUGGAAAAGGGCAUCACUGCUGUCAACGUUUUGUGUUGUUCCAUGGUUGUAUCAGGGAGGUAAAAUGUGAGGGCAAAGCUAUUUCAGAUUUAUUGGGCUGCUCAGCCAAAAAAGCUCAUAAAACUCUAGUUAAACAAAAAUGGCAACAUAACCAGUAACAAAAUCUAAUUUGUGAACUUCACUAGGAAAAAGACCUCUUUGUGAAACUGUUAUAUCAUCUAGGAAUAUGGAUUCAAAAGAUUUUAUUGCUUUAUCUUCCAAACCUCCCUUCAUCUGAUCCUUAUUUUACCAUACAGAAUCCUUAAACAAAAAACAAACAAACAAAAAACACCCAAAACCAAACCAACAAACAAGCACAAGAAAAUACUUUGGAAAUCUAUUACACUCUCUUUUUUCAUACUUCAAAAAAUGGCUGGACUGCAUUUGUCUACAGUGUCCACUGGAGGCCUUUCAGAUGUUGCAAUGUGUUUCCAGAAUCAAUUGUUUACAAUAAUUAUAAAACUAAAAUAAGCCAUAUCACCAUGUAUUUAGGCAUUCCUUAUGAACUGUAACCACUGAACAAACUACUUGAAAAACAUUACUGCAUGCUGUUGUCCUCAGCCACUAUUCAAAGAACUUUUUUCCUAAUCUGAAUAUAAUAUACAAACAGCACAGACAUGAAAUAAGAUGUCGAUUUAGCAAACUUUUAGAACUACAGGUGAAAAGAAAAAGUACUACUGAAACUUGACUUAAUAAAAAGCUUUUCUUAAGAGUAUUUAAAAGUCCCAAAUAUAGCUUAAAACAGGUAAACAUUUUAAAUAGAUUUUUCUCAGGAAAUCUAGCCACCUGUUUUUAUAUACUUUCUGGAAAGAGAAAAAAGAUAUAGACUACUCUUAUGCAAAAAUAAAUUGUGCAGUUUGUGGUAACUUUAUUAAAGAUGAGUAAUUUUUGAAGCUAGCAGUGAGACAUAAAUGUUUAACACAAGAGUCUCUUUCUUAGAGAAGCUUUGAAUAAGGACAUGCCUGUUUUAAACUGUAGAUUUACAGGGAGAGAAGGAGCUCAAUAUUUUAAAAUAUUAGCUCUAUAGUCUGGUGAACAAAAGUGUUACAGUCAGAUUAGAAACUCAACAAGCCUCAUUCUCUCCUAUACAAGCUUCUUAGCCCCUGGCACUUGCAAAUCUAGUGAACUAGAUACGAGCCUCCGUGUGUUCUAGUGAAGCUGGUCUCAGUCUAAUAAGUGUAAUAACACACUUACCAUUGCUAGGAGAAGAAAGGAUAUAACCCUUAAAGUCUGUUUUGAGGGCCUAUUUCAAGGGCCUGAUUAAUAAUCGAUUCACUCAAGUGUGUGCUACAUUUCAUGGUAUUUAAACGCAAGUAUAUGAAGUAAUUUUAGUUUAAAUCCAAAUGUUCUCUCUGAUAGUAAUCUCUAUCUGAUUACUAGUUUUAUUUCUCAUUUCAGACUAUGAGAACUGCUCUUUUCUUGCCUAACUGCAUGAUUUAGAGUCAAUUAGAUUGAGAAACGAUAAAAGAUUCCUUCAUAAUUAACUGAUAUUAUCAAACUCCAGACAUAAAAGUCAAAUAUUCUGAAAAAAAUCAGAUCCUGCAGUUUAGUUCUGCAGUGCUGUCUAUGAACUCUCCACCUAGGGAGGGAGAUGCCUCUGGUUUAGAGCUUGAGUACCAAGGAAAUAUGACAUUCCUACCAUUCAUCUAUAUGGCAAAUGAGAAUAAAAUAAAAAAAAAGUGCCACAAUAGUUGAAAAGAUAAGUUAUCAAUUUCCUGCUUGUGAGUGUUCCGGCAAAAAAACACUCCGAUUUCUGUUUACACAAAAACGUGGGGUUUUUUAAUAAAAACACUUUUUUCUUUAUCAUUCUUAUCCCAAUCUUGCAAAACUCUUCUCUUUUUUGGUAAUAGAAACAUUGAAAGCAAUAAUGAUACUUUGUCCAAUGCUGUCUUCCCUAAUACCUGAACCUUAGUCUAUCUGCUGACAGCAUCUUCAGAAAAUAAUUGCAAUUAUCAGAAUGGUUUUCUUCAGCUCAUUCAGUACAUGAUCAUGAACCAAAUGUUCUAUUUUAUGAAACAUGUUAUAGGACCUGGUGGUGUCCUGAAGAGUAAGCUGGGAGUAGGGUGAAGAAUGCUAAGUUUUUGACCACGCUGCUUCAUAAUGGCAGUGGAAAGGACUGGUGUUUUCUGGGCUUUUUUUUUUCUUCCCCACUUGGCAGAACUCUGAAACUAUGCCAUUAAGACACUUCUGAGUUACAUGCCCAACAGACAGUCUUGUCUGGUGCCUUAAAUGAAUGUCUUGUCCUUUAUUACACGGAUGAGAAGUUGAAGUACCGCACAUCUCAUAUGCACAGCACUUGGCGCUCAGUGUGAGCUCUUGUAAGAUCCUUAUCUCUAAACCAGUUUUUCUUCAAAGUCAUAAACAUCUGGAAAUUGUGCACUAUUCUUGCCAUAGAAAUCAAACACUCGAGUCCUUAUUUGAUCGCCCAGGGAACACUCACAUUGCUUUCUUCUGUUGUGUAGGUGCCACAGGAUUUGGCUUUCUGUUUGACAGCUUCUUUUCUUAGGUGACUGGGAAUCAGUUAGAGAAGGAUAAACUAGGUAUUUUUUUUGCCAGCUGCAUUAUUUAACUGACUAAAUAAUAAAAAGGUCAAGAGACAGUAGGAGGUUUUAUAUCGAGAUAAAGUUGGUACAAAAGAAAAGUCAAAGUCUCAUUUGCCCUUACCAUCCAUAAAGCGCCCAGUGCUGCCCAGGCUUACCUGUCCUAGAAAGCUGUGGGUCAUUAUGAAAUGCAAACUAUUAAGCAUGCUUCUGGUUGUGGCUGAGACGUGCCUAACAUAAUGUUUUGCCUUUGACCGGCUAAAGAAAAUAAAUAUAUAAGCAGAGUAGAUAUACAGUGAUUUCUUCCUCAAUAAGCCCUUGAAGCUUCUGACAGUAUCAGGGUUUGGGUCUUCCUAAGUUGUUUUCUAAGAGAUAACAAUACUGUCAUAUAAUUGAGACAUUAAUAGUUUUUCCAAAAGAGGCAGAUCUUGCUUCAUCUGAACACAGCAAGAGCUGAGCUUGGCGUGAUCUUUAAGAAGGGAAAUUUCCAUAGCAGCUUCUUAAAACCAGGGUUGCAUAGAAAGCUCUCGCAUGUGGCCACAGCUCAGCUUUAAAAGGAGCAGCUUUAAAUAUUAUUGGAAAGAUACACUAUAUCUCAUCCUGAUUUUCCUGUUUUCUCUGUUACCACCAUCAGCUGAUCUCAGUAGCUUCAUAAGGAAUUAAAUUUUGGAUUAUUUUUUUUUUUGUCACAAAAAAAAACCCAGUGGUAUAUGUUACAUCCCUGAUUAAUGUUUAGAGCUAGGGCGUACAGUUCCCAUAUCAAGAUGAUCCUAUCGGCCUUGUGGUUAAAAUCCUGUUCCCAUCAAAGAGGAGCAGCCAAUGUUCCCUAAUAAUAUUUUAUUUGAUGCUCUCCUAUUCAGAGGGAUUCAGGAUGUCUCACAUGCCUCAGGAAGGAAUGGGCAUAUUCUGUGUUUUUCAUGGAAAAUACAUUCUGAAUAAAACAUCAUGAAAAUAGAAGCAUUGGAGAAACACAUUUUCCAUUUGCCAUGUCAAAAACAUUGAUUACUUGCUGAAAAAAAAAAAAAAAAAAUAAGUUUUCUACCUGUGUUUUCUUUUCCCUUGGAAAAGAAAUAUAUUAAUUCCCUCCUCCUCCUGUUUUUGUUUUUAUUUUCCUUUAAUGUUUCCUUCAGGAAAAGAGCAAUUCUGACCAGGUCUCUUUUCCUGACUGCUCAAAUAUAAAAUUUCCUUGGCAGCUUUGUGCCUGCAGGAUGUGCCUCCUUGCACGGAGCAGGAGUUGCUAGAGAAGUUGGCUCAUUAGAGCAUCUUAUAAAUAGGAGAGACCAGCAGCAGGUGAGCAAAUGCACUAAAGUUUCAGAUCUCAGUUUAUCUUUGUGCCCUAAAAGCCUGAAGCUGUUUCAUAUAAAUGUCUUAAUUGUAAGGCUGUAAAUAAGGUGCACCAGAUUCUGAAAUUGAAGUUAUGAAUAAAUAAAUUUGUUAAACAGGUUACCCCACAUCAUUAAACUUUCUGAAAGGCUGUCUGUAUUUUUCAAAACUUUUCUUUUUGCAUAACCCCUUAAAAACAUUUAGGUCUUAAAACCCAUUCAGAGGAUAUUUAUAGUUAUGAUGAAGGAUAACAAGUUUCAUGUGGGCAUCCUAAUGUAUGAAAAAAAAAAAGCGAGACUGACUAUACACUGGUGAGGUAUCAAAUACAUAUUUACUUUCAUGAGCUCAGUAUGCCAAGCUAAUUUAUGAGCAGUUGAAUGAAACAGAGCCAGAAGUGAGGUCAAGUAAGUGGUCAUCCCAGAGAAGUAAAAAAAAAAAAAACAACACUACUACACUUGCAUUUAAACACUGGAGAUGUUGCCUGUCAUGUUGGGCCAUGUAUAUUAUCUGUGCAAUAAGGAACAAGGGGAACUUAAAGCUCUUCAAGGGGUCUAAAACGUACAUUUAGUGGUAUUAGUGAGCAAUUGUGCUGCAGGAAUCCUUGUAGCUGGCUGUCUUGUUCUUGUCUGGGAAUUGUCAAUCUCUCUAAAGCACGUGAGAAUAACAUGUUGGGAUGCCACAAGUAUGUGGGUAGCAUUUAUGUAACCUUCAGCCUUUGUGGGAAAGUAAAAACCUUUGUUACUUGGAUUUGACUCUGUAGCAGAUGGUAUGAAUAAAUGUUUGCAGUGCCAGUGUUGUUCAGUUCGGCUGAUCGAUUCUGUCAUACUCCCAAGGAGGUAGAGACAGCUUAAAUAACUGAUUCAGGAUGUAGGAAAUAUUUUCCUUUUCCUGUUGCAGUAGUAUUGUGUAGAAGUGAUGCUAUUCUGACUUCCAGCUUCUCACUUGGUGGGAUGCAUGAAUUAUGUAAAUAUUGAUUGGGUUUUUAGCAAAGUUCACACAGCUUAUUUCCAACCAUUUCACAUAUUCCAAUUCCCAAAAGUGCUUAAAGCACAAUGGUCAUUAUCCUUUUCACUUUUUUUUUUUUUUUUUAAAGUAAUAUUGUUGCUUAGACUAACCAGGGCUGAUGCAAAACCUGUGUUAGGGUCUUGAUCAAAUUCUCUCUCAUUUCCAGCCUGGCCAACAAAUGCAUUCCUAUGGGAGAACAGUCUGGCAAGCCUUUCUUUGGCCAGUAUGAGCCUGAUGACAGCAGUCACCUUAUUUCUUAUGUGUGGAAUAUAGUGCCUAGUAUACUGGCCUGGAGCUGACUCAAGGCUUCUAGGUACACGCUAUGAAUAAAAACAACAAAGCGAUUCUUUUAUGGAGUUGGCAUAGCACCUCUUCUCCUUCUUUAAAUUUUCCCCCUUUCU